This 470-nucleotide ribosomal RNA is filed under the name uncultured bacterium. Its description in RNAcentral is "SSU rRNA". It matches the Rfam family "Bacterial small subunit ribosomal RNA", at positions 26 to 518 of the family's 1533-position model. The record is from RNAcentral.
AGGACGAACGCUGGCGGCGCGCCUAACACAUGCAAGUCGAGCGAUAACCAGGGCUUGCCCUGGGGACAGCGGCGAACGGGUGCGUAACACGUGAGCAACCUGCCCCAAAGACCGGGACAACCCGAGGAAACUCGGACUAAUACCGGAUGCCCUCACCGGGUCGCAUGGUCUGGUGAGGAAAUGGAUUCCGCUUUGGGAUGGGCUCGCGGUCUAUCAGCUUGUUGGUGGGGUAACGGCCUACCAAGGCGACGACGGAUAGCUGGUCUGAGAGGACGAUCAGCCACACUGGGACUGAGACACGGCCCAGACUCCUACGGAGGCAGCAGUGGGGAAUCUUGCGCAAUGGGGGAAACCCUGACGCAGCGACGCCGCGUGCGGGAUGAAGGCCUCGGGUUGUAAACCGCUUUCAGCAGGGACGAAAUUGACGGUACCUGCAGAAGAAGGCCCGGCAACUACGUGCCAGCAGCCGC